Molecule: long non-coding RNA, 1604 nt
Filed under: Anser brachyrhynchus (Pink-footed goose)
Lineage: Eukaryota; Metazoa; Chordata; Aves; Anseriformes; Anatidae
Description: lncRNA (ENSABRG00000011994.1)
Source: RNAcentral
CGGAGGAGGAGCAGAGUGACGAGGGAAGUCAGGAGGCCCCAGGCGUGGCUGGUGAGGCUGGGGUGGCCGCAGCCCCAGGGGAGCCCCAUCUGUGCUGCAGCAGGAGCGGGAGCUGGGGUCCAGUACUGGAGUAGAAGAGAGAGGGGACCGAGGGGCUGCAGGUACCACAGGCAGAUGGGGAAGGAGUCCCCUUGGGCCUGGGCACAAGGAGCCACAGCCAGCAGCGCCUUGGGCAGGGCGCAGAGCCUGCGCUUAUCACGGGGUAGGGGACACAGCAGGCAGCCCCCAGGGUUCUUCUCCAAGGGAGCCCCACCAAGACAGACGUCCCUCACAGCACCCAGCAGAGCUGCAGAACGUAGAAUACUACGCCCAGCUUCCCCAACUUUUGCCCAGUUCCUGCCUGCAAUAACCCUCUGGGAGCAGCUCUGCCCCUGGGGCAAUGGAGACAAGUGUCUGGGGAGCUCUGCAGGGCUGGCACCACCAUCCCAUUGCAGCUGGGUGCCCUACCCAGGGCCUUCAGCAAGCAUGAGGGGCAUGUCCCCAGCAGGGUCUUCUCCAGACCUCCAGGGAAAGCCACUAUCUGAGCUCGUUCAUCUCCACCCAUCUAAGGAGGAAUCAAACAGUGAGCACUGGCACAAUGUGGAGAGAUGGCAGAGCAGAGCUGAGUGGUACCAGAGGCUGCAGGGAAUGAGGCACAGCUGGGUGCCAAGCCUGGAGGUGCCACCUUUUGCCCAGGGUGCUGAAGGCAAAGAGCCAGCCCCGCUCCCUGCUAAAGUCAAGCAGGCGCAGGAGAGGGUUGGCCCAGUGGGGCACGGGUCUUCUUGUAGAGCUUAGGUGGAUAAGGAAAGUUUAUGUGCACUGGAAGCGAGGUCGGGCAACAUUGGAGGACUACAGAGAUGCUGUUUGCCUUUGCAGGCAGAAAAUUCAUAUGUCCAAAGCUCAGUUCGAGUUAAAGCUGGAGAGUACUCUGAGGGGCAUUAAAAAGUAGUUUUUAAAAAUAAGAGCAAAAGGAGGACCAGAGAAUAUAUUUGACUGUUACUUAAUGAGGAUUGUCACCUCACAAAUAGGGACGCAGAAAAAGCUGAGAAUUCUAAUGCCUUAUUUGCCUCUUUCAUCAAUGCCUUGGAAGGGCUGCAGGAGUAAGUGAAAAACACUGGAAGGCCAAUGCAGUCACUGGUCACAGCACACACGGGUUUGUGAGGGGAAAGUCCUGUUCAAUGAACUUAAUUUCCUUUCUAUGACAAGGUCAGCCUCCUCGUGGGCCAAGGGGUGAUAGUUGAUAUGUUCUUCUUGGAUUACAGUAACGCUUUCUAAAUCUUUUCUUACCGUAUCCAUCUGGACCAAAAGUCCAGCAUAGACCCAGAUAAAUGCUCCAUGGAAUUCACAAUAUGAUCGGUGAACAAUUGGCUGCUGUGUCAGGCUCCAAGGCUUCUGGUAAACGAGGCAACAUCAGGCUGGUGGCCAGUCACGAGUGGGGCUUUGCAGGGCUCCAUUUUGGGGCCAGGUCUCUUCAGUGGUCACAUAAAUGACCUGGAUGCAGGACUGGAAGCAAACCUGAGUGAGUUUGUGGCUGACACUGAACUGGGAGGAGCUGCUGACUCUGU